AACGAACGCUGGCGGCAUGCCUAACACAUGCGAGUCGAACGAGACCUUCGGGUCUAGUGGCGCACGGGUGCGUAACGCGUGGGAACCUGCCCUUAGGUUCGGAAUAACUCCCCGAAAGGGGUGCUAAUACCGGAUAAUGUCUUCGGACCAAAGAUUUAUCGCCUUUGGAUGGGCCCGCGUUGGAUUAGCUAGUUGGUAGGGUAAAAGCCUACCAAGGCGACGAUCCAUAGCUGGUCUGAGAGGAUGCUCCGCCACACUGGGACUGCGACACGGCCCAGACUCCUACGGGAGGCAGCAGUGGGGAAUAUUGGACAAUGGGCGAAAGCCUGAUCCAGCAAUGCCGCGUGAGUGAUGAAGGCCUUAGGGUUGUAAAGCUCUUUUACCCGGGAUGAUAAUGACAGUACCGGGAGAAUAAGCUCCGGCUAACUCCGUG
Molecule: ribosomal RNA, 433 nt
Filed under: uncultured bacterium
Lineage: Bacteria
Description: partial 16S ribosomal RNA
Rfam family: Bacterial small subunit ribosomal RNA
Source: RNAcentral